Leucoraja erinaceus (little skate) is the source of this 5478-nucleotide long non-coding RNA. RefSeq lists it as uncharacterized. Lineage: Eukaryota; Metazoa; Chordata; Chondrichthyes; Rajiformes; Rajidae. The record is from RefSeq and is a predicted model, not a curated record. The transcript has 2 exons.
CCCACACUCCAAAGACGUACAGGUUUGUAGGUUAAUUGGCUUGGUAUAAAUGUAAAGUGUCCCAAGCGCGUGUGUGUUGGGUAGUGUUAAAGUGCGGGGACUGCUGGACGGUGCGGACCUGGUGGGCCGAAGGGCCUGUUUCCGCGCUGUAUGUCUAAACUAAACCAAAACCAAAUAAAGUGCUGGAAUAUCUGAGCGAGUCAGGCAACAUCUGUGGAGAUAGACACAAAAUGCUGGAGUAACUCAGCGGGACGGGAAGCAUCUCUGGAGAGAUGGAAUGGGUGACGUUUCGGGUCGAGGCCCAUCUUGUGGAAGGUGCAGGUCAAGACACCUUCUUCAGUCUCCAGCACUUGGUGAAUUACAAAGAUUCGAGCAUCUGUAGUUUGUUUUGUAUGUACAAUUCCUCUUGCCUCUUGCCAAUCAAGUAUGUUGCUUUGUCCUCAAUGACAGAUAGAUUGUUGAGAGUGGUUGAUGCUGUAAUCAUUCAGGCAAGUAGACAUUAUUUCAUCACAAUCCUAAUUUGGGACUUGUAGGUGCUGGAAACCACUUUGGGGUGUCAGGGCAUGAAUCACUCACCACACAAUACCCAGCCUUUAACCGACACUUGUAGCCACAGUCUGCAUGUCACUAGCCCUAUUAACUUUCUGGUUGAAUUGAUGAUGGGGGGUUAUCAUUGAUGGUUGUGCCUUUGAAUGUCAAUAGGCAGUGGUUCAACUCCCUUUUUUAUUGCUGGAGGAAGUCACUGUGGUGCUCAUGUUUGUUUCAAAAGUUACUUGUCGUGAAUGAGCAUGAACCUGUGUGCUCUCACAACUGUUGCAUGUAGCUGAGUUUAGUUUAGAGAUGCAGCGCUGACACCUUCGGCCCACCGAGUCCAUGCCGACCAGCGAUCCCCGUGCACUAGCACUAUCCAACACGCUAGGGACAAUUUACAAUUUUAUCGAAGCUAAUUUACCGACAAACCGAUACGUCUUUGGAGUGUGGGAGGAAACCGGAGCACCCGGACACGGGGAGAUUGUACAAACUCCGUACAGACAGCACCUGUAGUAGGAUUGAACCCUAGUCUCUGGCGCUGUAAAGGGCAUGUCCCACUUUCCCGAACUAGUCACGACUUCUCCUGCGUUAUUCACGAAUUCUCCCGAGUUUUCAAACUCACAGAAUGUUCGUAACGAGUCCAUAGUCCGUAGGAGACCGUGGAUAUAUCGUAGCGGCUCGUUAUGCCAGCCGUAGGUACUCGGGGCUUUCUUUUUAUUCCUGGACAUUUUUCAUCAGGCUGGAAAAAACGUCUCGACUUACCUGAUGCCCCGAGUACCUACAGCUGGCAUAACGAGCAGCUACAAUAUACCUAUGGACUCCUACGGACUCGUUACGAACAUUCUGCGAGUUUGAAAACUCGGGAGAAUUCGUGAAUAACUCGGGAAAGUGGGACAGGCCCUUUAGAUAGCAACUCUACCGCUGCGCUACCGUGUUGGCACAGAUAGUUCCGUAAAACCAUGACAUCGGAGCAGAAUUUGACCAUGGCUGAUCUACUUUUCCCUCACAACCCCAUUCUCCUGCUUUCUCCCAGUAACCUGAUGCCCUUCCUAAUCCAGAAUCUAUCAAUCCCCGCUUUAAAAAUACCCAGUGUCUUGACCUCCACGGCUGUCUGAAUUCCACAUAUUCACCACUAUAUGGCUAAAAAAAAAAAUUAAGGUACAUCCUUUUAUACUGAGGUCGUGCCUUGUGGUCCUUGAUUCUCCCAUUACUGGAAACAUCCGAUCCACGUCAACUCUAUUCAGGCCUUUCAUUAUCUGGCAGAUUUCAAUGUGGUUCCCGCCUUAUCCUUCGAAGCUUGUACGGUGUUUGUCCGUUAUCCCCGUGACCCGCGUGGCUUUUCCCCGGGUGCUCCGGUUUCCUCCCGCACUCCAAAGACGUGCAGGUUUGUAGGUUCAUUUGGCUUCGGUAAAAAUUGUAUCUCGGAAAGUGCUAGUCCACGGGGUGAUCGCUGGUCGGCGUGGACUCGGUGGGCCGAAAGGCCUGUUUCCGCGCUGUAUCUAAAUUACAGCACAUAGCGCUGGUAACAAGGUAUCAAGAGUAGAUAACAGAAUACUUCUUCAAAGUGCUCUGAGUUGCUCUUCAACAUGAUCAUGAUCUUUUGUUUUGUUCAAAGUGCAUUUUUGGACUUUUGAUAGAGGACGUUUGUAGCUUGAACAUUAACUCCUAUAUUUACCGUUGUUUUAAUGCCAGGAUAAAUGUUUGCGUUCCAUUUAACCUGAGAGUCAAAGUUCAGUCCAACUCCUGUUUAAAAAUGAAGCUCCAAGCCGAUAAUGAUUCUGUUGUCUAAACAAAAUCGUGAAGAAGAAUACCAAGUAUUACAUUUCCAGUGUAAUUUUGCCGUCUGAGUGGAAUGGCUGACACAGGUUUCUGAUGCAGAAUGACUCUCACAGGUUGCGAUGUGCAUUUCUGGGGUACAGUGCAGUUGGACUGCAGAGACAUGGCAUCAACAGCUAUGCCAACACCAGGUAUUGGUGAAGACAUUGCAAGCCAAGUCAAGACAAGUCAAGUUUGCGGACAAGUGGACAUGUGUGGUGAGAUACUGCUACAAUAAAGAUUUCGCUUGCAUCAGCAUCACGGGCACAUAACGCACAAAACUUAAAUCAUACACAGAGGGGUGGCACGGUGGCGCAGAGGUACUGGGAUUUCCCCGGGUGCUAUGAAUUCCUCCCGCAGUCCAAAGACGUACAGGUUUGUAGGUUCAUUGGCUUUGGUAAAAAUUGUAAAUUGUCCCAAGUAUGCAGGAUAGUGCUAGCGUACGGGGAUCGUCGGUUGGCGAGGACACGGUGGGCCGAAGGGCCUGUUUCUGCACUGUAUCUCUAAACUGUACUAAACCAAAAUAAAUGGCAGGUCAGGAUAUGGUAAAUGCAUCGGCCCAGCCACAGGAUAGAGCCUAGUCUGCAAGUGGCCUUCAAGCUGGCUGGCACUAUGCCGGGGCUUUGAGGCAAUUUCAAAUGUUUGAAGGAUUUUUGAGAGGAAAUGUUACAUUUCUAGUUUCCUCCUGAAAUUAUAGGCAGCUCUGCAGUGCCAACAGGAAAUCAAAAGAUCCCACCCAUUUAUUUGUCUAGGUCCAGAUCUUUAAACAUGGCAACAGGUACUUCAUUCCGUCGUGUGAUAUUCCAAAGAUAACUGCCAGAGCCACCAUAUUUAUCCACUGCACGGUGCCAAUGGUUUGGUUCUUUCUGCCCUCGGGAGUUCCCCUGAUACACGGCAACUAUGAGAAUUGUUGAUGCUGAGACAAUAGACAAUAGACAUAGGUGCAGGAGUAGGCCAUUCGGCCCUUCGAGCCAGCACCGCCCUUCACUGUGAUCAUGGCUGAUCAUCCACAAUCAGUACCCCGUUCCUGCCUUCUCCCCAUAUCCCCUGAGAUUGGAGUUGCCUGUGAGCCUAUUGGGUAUUGGUCUGUUGAACUAAUCGGUAGUGCAACAAGUGGCAAAAUAACAUUUUUGAUACUUAUAAAAAGUGCUUUGAGUACAAUCAGCCAUGAACUAGUAACUGGAACUCAAUGUGACCUUACAGCUACAACAUUUCUUGGAACCAUCCAGAUAAUUCUGCUGAUUCCGGUACAUUCCAUGCAUGUAUUAUCCAACAGAUGGAACCUUCCAGAAUGAGAGUUUGUUUCCAACUUCCAACAAUCAAUGUGAGCUAGUUGGUUCACCCUGUCGUCUUUACAGUGUUGAUUGAUUUUUCUCUGGUGCGUUCAAUAGCUGCAAAACAUGCAAUUGGCACAAACAGACGACCGCUGUUCACAAUGUUUAUCAAUAAUCUAGACUCUAAAGUUCAGGUUCCAAAUUUUGAGGUGAUCGUGCUUUGAGAAUGUAAUUAAUACAGAGAGGGCAACAUGGUGGUGCAGCGGUAGCGUUGCUGCCUCAUAGCACAAGAGACCAGGGUUCGAUCCUGACGAUGGGCGCUGCCUGUACGGAGUUUGUAUGUUCUCCACGUGCACGGCCUGCUUCUUUUCUUCGGGUGCUCCGGUUUCCAACACACUACAAAGACUUACAGCUUCAUGCAGCUGAAAAUCAAUCCGCUUCUGGAGUGAAACAGAGCAUCAGAAAACUGCAGAUUGCUGGAUUCCCCACAAAAGAUCUCCACAGCUUCCAAAUAAGCUCUGAAUUAUGUACAUCGAUUAUUAUUGUUAUUUUUGCACAAUUAUUGUUUGUUUGUUUUUUAUGUGUACAUAUAUGUGCGUGUGUGUGUGUGUAUAUAUACACAUGCAUGUAUGUAUAUAUAUUAAUAUAAUAUGUGUAUGUUUGAGUAUUUGUAUAUAUACACACACUGAACUUUUUUUUCUGUUUAUUAUAUUGUUUACAGUGUACUGUGUACUGAAGAUAGACACAAAACGCUGGAGUAACCCAGCGUCUUUGGAGAAAAGGGUCUCGACCCGAAACGUCACCCAUUCCUUCUCUCCAGAGAUGCUGCCUGUCCCGCUAAGUUACUCCAGCAUUUUGUCACUAUCUUCGGCUUGAACCAGCAUCUGCAGUUCCUUCCAACAUAUGUUUACAUAUUCUCUUGUGCUGCUUCAAGUAGGAAUUUCAUUGUUCUAUCUGGGGCACAUGACAAUAAAAUACCCUUGACGCUCCGAAACACCUCCUGCACUCUUGGAGUGACCACCUGACUCUAGGUCCUGUCCAGGAAGCUUUCGUCGUCCCGGAUGGACCGCAGAUCAUCCAGCUGCUGCUCCAGUUUCCUAACUGAGAAACAGGCCGUUCGGCCCACUGAGCCGGCGAUCACCCCGUACACCAGCAUGAACUUACACACUGGGGACAAUUUACAAUUUACAUCCCAAUUAACCUGCAAAGCUGCACGUCUUUGGGAUGUGGGAGGAAACCGGAGCUUCCCGGAGAAAACCCAAGCAGGUCACAGGAAGAGCAUAUAAACUCCGUACAGACAGCACCUGUAGUCAGGAUCGAACCCGGGUCUCUGGCAACUCUACCGCUGCGCCACCGUGCCGCCCUGUUUUAUGCUGAUUAAUGCACAAAGGGACACAAAAUGCAGGUCAGGCAUCAUCUCUGGAGAACGUGGAUAGGGUAUAGGAAAGAACUGCAGAUGCCGGUUUAAAUUGAAGAUAUACACAAAAUGCAGGAGAAACUCUGUGGGACAGGCAGCAUCUCUGGAGAGAAGGAAUGGGUGACGUUUCAGGUCGAAACCCUUCUUCAGAUCCUUCACACCCCUGACAGAGAAAUCAAGUUACAUCCCUACAAUUUAUCAGUCUUCUCACUCCUCCUUCCAGUUCUGACGAAGAGAUUCCAACGUGUGGCAUUGAAUCUGUUUUUCUUCCCACAGAUGCAGUCUGACUUGCUGAGUGUUUCCCAACAUUUUUCCCUGUUUUUUCCCUUUUUCCACAGGCCUGGAAUUUUUUCAAUCCAUUUUGACAUCCCAGCACAUUAAUUCCGCUUCUCUGUGUGUGAAACAUAAUGUUCUUUUCAAUAAAAGAGCUGUUUUCCUUUU